Molecule: ribosomal RNA, 253 nt
Filed under: uncultured bacterium
Lineage: Bacteria
Description: partial 16S ribosomal RNA
Rfam family: Bacterial small subunit ribosomal RNA
Source: RNAcentral
UACGGAGGAUGCAAGCGUUAUCCGGAAUGAUUGGGCGUAAAGCGUCCGCAGGUGGCGGUGUAAGUCUGCUGUUAAAGAGUGAGGCUCAACCUCAUAAAAGCAGUGGAAACCAUUUGGCUAGAGUCCGGAAGAGGAGAGUGGAAUUCCUGGUGUAGCGGUGAAAUGCGCAGAUAUCAGGAGGAACACCAAUGGCGAAGGCGGCAUCCUGGACCAAUAUUGACGCUGAGGAGCGAAAGCCAGGGGAGCAAACGGG